AUUCACAGAGAUAUGCAAAAACCCAGCGGGUAGAACAGGAACAUGCUAUUUAUUCACGCAGCUGAAUGGGCCUCUCUUGGAAUCAACGUGUGGCACCUUUCUUAUUACCCUGACUGCAAAAAGAGCCCAAAUGGAAAGGCCUUGGUAGCUUAAUGUCUCAGCCUUCAAUGAUGCUAUUAAUAGAACUGGGAUCGUUUAUCAACCUCUCACGAUAUUUCCUGUAGAGAGGACCAUCACAACACACGUGACAAGAUGUGGGCAGACGAGAGGGGAGUCUAAAUGUGGCCCUGCACCUGUUGGUGAGAACAAGGACACGGCUGGAGAGGAUUCUGAAGGAAGCCAUGCCGCCCAUAGCCAUGUUUAGGCAAGUGGGUAGAGCCGCAGGCUUUCUCAAGAUGCUCUUAAAUUGCCCUGGAGGAGAGUGAAUGUCGUCCUGUUGCUGUAAGUUGCUGGUGGGGAGGGGUACGAUGGCAUGAAGAAGAAAAUGAAAGGAACUGAGAAUAGGAGAGGGUUUCUGUCAACUGUGCUAGAACAAAUAAGAAACAUAUAGAUGAUAGGUAGUUCCCACUUCUGGAAUUAAUGUGUAAGUCUUAAUUCUUAGAUUCUUAAAAUUCUGAAUUCUGAUUUUAAAAAAAGAAAAGAAAAUGGUGAGAAUUGAAAAUGAUAGGAGACUUGAGAGAGAAUAACCAUAUCGUGUUGGAGUUUGUUUAAAAAGGAAUGCUCGCCCUCCUUUUCCUAGCGCUGGAUCUCACCCUAACAGUGUGAAAGGUUAAACGAACUAGUUCCCUUAGAAGAAUGAUGGAGUGUUACUGUGAGCCAGGCAUGGUGCUGGGUGCUUUGCAUACAAUGUAUAAUUUAGUCCAUGAUAAUCCUCAGGGUAGAUAUUAUUCUCAUUUUUCAGUGAGUUUACUUACAUUUAGAGAGGACAGUAAGUUAUUCAGUGAGCCCCCCUGAGUUCACUGAGUAAAGGUAGGUGGGUUAUACCAAGACAGGCAGGCAGACCCGUAUCGUGGAUAACUUGGAUUAAAGACCCAGUUUAUUCCCUCAGUGACUCUCAACGCAAAGGAGCUGAGAGGGGAUCACGCACCAUGUCCCUCUUCCCCAGUGAAGAAAUCAGCUAUAUAACUGGAUGUUGUGGAGGAAUCAAGGUUGAAAGACCGCUGCUUUUAAUUUAUCUUUUUAAACAUUUAUGAAAGCAAAACACGUUUAAGAAUGUUUUUUGAAAUGUUGAAAAUCAUCUCUGGACCAUAUACCUCUGCUGUUAGCAUCUGAUGCAUUUCUUGGAAAGGUUUUUCUUAUGCAUUUUUCUAGCUAUUGAUAUAGACAUGAUAAUGUAGUAUACAGAGUUUUAUAUCCUGUUUGUUUUCCCCACUUAACAUAAUGUCAUAAGUAUGUCAUCCUCAAUUUAUAUUGUUUCAAUUGAAAGAUUUUAAGUAUAAGAGUAGAGUAUGGUGGCGUAUUAAAAUUUGCAUUUUAUGGACCUGUUCUCACACUUCUAGGUACCACUACCCAUUUUGUUGGGAUGGAGUUUAACGGUGUCCCCUGCCAUGCUUCUAAUUUCCAGUCUUGGAAGCUAGCAGGUUGUGUUUGCAGCCCAUAUUGGCAUUUAUCCUGACUGACCUCUACACAUAUUUGCUUACUGUGUUAUUUAUGUUAAUGUCUACUUUCUCGAAUAUGGCUCUCAGUCAGUUUCUCUUUCUCUGGUAGGCUCUUAA
This is a long non-coding RNA of Balaenoptera musculus (blue whale), 1715 nucleotides long. RefSeq lists it as uncharacterized. Lineage: Eukaryota; Metazoa; Chordata; Mammalia; Artiodactyla; Balaenopteridae. The record is from RefSeq and is a predicted model, not a curated record. The transcript is spliced from 3 exons.